RNAcentral lists this ribosomal RNA (425 nucleotides) under Comamonas sp. PHA-P5. Its description in RNAcentral is "bacterial SSU rRNA". It matches the Rfam family "Bacterial small subunit ribosomal RNA", at positions 1010 to 1435 of the family's 1533-position model. The record is from RNAcentral. Lineage: Bacteria; Pseudomonadati; Pseudomonadota; Betaproteobacteria; Burkholderiales; Comamonadaceae.
UUUGGUGCUCGAAAGAGAACCUGCACACAGGUGCUGCAUGGCUGUCGUCAGCUCGUGUCGUGAGAUGUUGGGUUAAGUCCCGCAACGAGCGCAACCCUUGCCAUUAGUUGCUACAUUCAGUUGAGCACUCUAAUGGGACUGCCGGUGACAAACCGGAGGAAGGUGGGGAUGACGUCAAGUCCUCAUGGCCCUUAUAGGUGGGGCUACACACGUCAUACAAUGGCUGGUACAAAGGGUUGCCAACCCGCGAGGGGGAGCUAAUCCCAUAAAGCCAGUCGUAGUCCGGAUCGCAGUCUGCAACUCGACUGCGUGAAGUCGGAAUCGCUAGUAAUCGUGGAUCAGAAUGUCACGGUGAAUACGUUCCCGGGUCUUGUACACACCGCCCGUCACACCAUGGGAGCGGGUCUCGCCAGAAGUAGGUAGCC